AACAGGAUUAGAUACCCUGGUAGUCCACGCUGUAAACGAUGUCGAUUUGGAGGUUGUGCCCUUGAGGCGUGGCUUCCGGAGCUAACGCGUUAAAUCGACCGCCUGGGGAGUACGGCCGCAAGGUUAAAACUCAAAUGAAUUGACGGGGGCCCGCACAAGCGGUGGAGCAUGUGGUUUAAUUCGAUGCAACGCGAAGAACCUUACCUACUCUUGACAUCCAGAGAACUUAGCAGAGAUACUUUGGUGCCUUCGGGAACUCUGAGACAGGUGCUGCAUGGCUGUCGUCAGCUCGUGUUGUGAAAUGUUGGGUUAAGUCCCGCAACGAGCGCAACCCUUAUCCUUUGUUGCCAGCGGUUCGGCCGGGAACUCAAAGGAGACUGCCAGUGAUAAACUGGAGGAAGGUGGGGAUGACGUCAAUCAUCAUGGCCCUUACGAGUAGGGCUACACACGUGCUACAAUGGCGUAUACAAAGAGAAGCGACCUCGCGAGAGCAAGCGGACCUCAUAAAGUACGUCGUAGUCCGGAUUGGAGUCUGCAACU
RNAcentral lists this ribosomal RNA (540 nucleotides) under uncultured Leminorella sp. RNAcentral's name for it is "bacterial SSU rRNA". It matches the Rfam family "Bacterial small subunit ribosomal RNA", at positions 771 to 1312 of the family's 1533-position model. Lineage: Bacteria; Pseudomonadati; Pseudomonadota; Gammaproteobacteria; Enterobacterales; Budviciaceae. The record is from RNAcentral.